RNAcentral lists this transfer RNA (77 nucleotides) under Pseudomonadota bacterium. RNAcentral's name for it is "Proteobacteria bacterium tRNA-Arg". It matches the Rfam family "tRNA". From Rfam's summary of the family: Transfer RNA (tRNA) molecules are approximately 80 nucleotides in length. The record is from RNAcentral. Lineage: Bacteria; Pseudomonadati; Pseudomonadota.
GGCCCUAUAGUUCAACUGGAUAGAAUAUCGGUCUUCGAAAUCGAGGGUUGGGGGUUCGAGUCCCUCUGGGGCCGCCA